ACCGCUGGCAAGUUGAUUUUAAUUUCCAUCCACGCCGACUUCUUUUGUUUUGAGGUAUAUAACGAUUGUGAGGACUUUGCGGUCUUGAGCGGGAAGGCUCAAGAAUAUCUACACUCCGUGGCGACGUGGAUUAGGAUUCGCUGCCAGCCCUUUUAGUGAGGUUUCUACAGUCCAGGGACCCUCGUAUCACUACUUUCAGGCUGAUUCUAGUUUUUUUUUGGUUCCGUUUGGCUUCGAGGGCAUCCACAUAUCCACGGUUCGUUCCUGGUGAGGAUGGACCAUGAGUGAAUUACCGAAAAUUCGUACUAAAAAGAUUUCGCGCCUGAGGAGAAUGGUCUACAAGUUGGAAGGAAGGAAGUGAGGGGAAGGUGGAAGGAAGUGAGAAGAAGGAACAACAGCGAAGCAGACCAGCAGCGUGUGGCAUCUUCGAUCUCUCUCUUGACCGCCGAGAUUUUUAGUAUAAUUAUAUGCGGUAAUUUCUUUGUCUCUUCUCCCGCUCUUCGUAAGGGAGUCCCCUCGUGCUGUGGUCGACACGC
Long non-coding RNA from Belonocnema kinseyi, 536 nucleotides. RefSeq lists it as uncharacterized. The record is from RefSeq and is a predicted model, not a curated record. The transcript is spliced from 3 exons. NCBI's taxonomy places the organism in Eukaryota, Metazoa, Arthropoda, Insecta, Hymenoptera, Cynipidae.